This 465-nucleotide ribosomal RNA is filed under the name uncultured bacterium. RNAcentral describes it as "partial 16S ribosomal RNA". It matches the Rfam family "Bacterial small subunit ribosomal RNA", at positions 28 to 507 of the family's 1533-position model. The record is from RNAcentral.
GACGAACGCUGGCGGCGUGCUUAACACAUGCCAGUCGAACGGAAAGGCCCCCUUGUGGGGUACUCGAGUGGCGAACGGGUGAGUAACACGUGAGUGACCUACCCUUGACUUUGGGAUAACUUCAGGAAACUGGGGCUAAUACCGGAUAGGAGCUCCUGCUGCAUGGUGGGGGUUGGAAAGUUUCGGCGGUUGGGGAUGGACUCGCGGCUUAUCAGCUUGUUGGUGGGGUAGUGGCUCACCAAGGCUUUGACGGGUAGCCGGCCUGAGAGGGUGACCGGCCACAUUGGGACUGAGAUACGGCCCAGACUCCUACGGGAGGCAGCAGUGGGGAAUAUUGCACAAUGGGCGGAAGCCUGAUGCAGCAACGCCGCGUGCGGGAUGACGGCCUUCGGGUUGUAAACCGCUUUCGCCUGUGACGAAGCGUGAGUGACGGUAAUGGGUAAAGAAGCACCGGCUAACUACGUG